GGGCAGAUAGCUCAGUUGGAAGAGCGUCCCUCCGGGAAAGGGAAGGUCUUGAGUUCAACCCUCGGUCAACCUG
RNAcentral lists this transfer RNA (73 nucleotides) under Olpidium bornovanus. RNAcentral describes it as "tRNA-Pro". The record is from RNAcentral. Lineage: Eukaryota; Fungi; Olpidiomycota; Olpidiomycetes; Olpidiales; Olpidiaceae.